AGAGUUUGAUCCUGGCUCAGAACGAACGCUGGCGGAGUGCUUAAUACAUGCAAGUCGUGCGAGAAAGUAGCCUUCGGGCUGCGAGUAGAGCGGCGAACGGGUGAGUAACACGUAAGCAACCUACCUCUAAAUUUGGAAUAACCUUGCUAACGCGGGGCUAAUACCGGAUGUGAUCAUGAUUACUCAUGUUGUCAUGAUUAAAGGUGACCUCUAUUUAUAAGUCACUGUUUAGAGAUGGGCUUGCGGCCCAUUAGCUAGUUGGUGAGGUAACGGCCCACCAAGGCUUCGAUGGGUAGCCGACCUGAGAGGGUGUACGGCCACAUUGGGACUGAGAUACGGCCCAGACUCCUACGGGAGGCAGCAGUAGGGAAUUUUGCGCAAUGGACGAAAGUCUGACGCAGCAACUCCGCGUGAGGGAUGAAUGCCUUCGGGUUGUAAACCUCUGUUGAGUGGGAAGAAAGUGUUUUGUAGUAACAUAUAAAACAUUGACGGUACCAUUCGAGGAAGCUCCGGCUAACUACGUGCCAGCAGCCGCGGUAAUACGUAGGGAGCAAGCGUUGUUCGGAAUCACUGGGCGUAAAGGGAGCGUAGGUGGAAAGGUAAGUUAGAAGUGAAAUACAGCGGCUUAACCGUUGACUUGCUUUUAAUACUGCUUUUCUUGAGUAUGGGAGAGGAAGAUGGAAUUCCCGGUGUAGCGGUGGAAUGCGUAGAUAUCGGGAAGAACACCAGUUGCGAAGGCGGUCUUCUGGCCCAAUACUGACACUGAGGCUCGAAAGCUAGGGGAGCGAACAGGAUUAGAUACCCUGGCAGUCCUAGCCGUAAACGAUGGACACUAGAUGCUGGAGCUGUCAUGGCUUCAGUGUCGUAGCUAACGCGUUAAGUGUCCCGCCUGGGGAGUGCGCUCGCAAGGGUGAAACUCAAAGGAAUUGACGGGGGCCCGCACAAGCGGUGGAGCAUGUGCUUUAAUUCGAUGCAACGCGAAGAACCUUACCUGGUCUUGACAUGAGAAUGAAAGCCUUUAGAGAUAGAGGCCCUUCCGCAAGGAACAUUCUACACAGGUGCUGCAUGGCUGUCGUCAGCUCGUGUCGUGAGAUGUUGGGUUAAGUCCCGCAACGAGCGCAACCCCUAUCCUUAGUUGCCAUCAGGUAAUGCUGGGAACUCUAAGGAGACUGCCUGGUUUAACCAGGGGGAAGGUGGGGAUGACGUCAAGUCCUCAUGGCUCUUACGACCAGGGCCAGACACGUGCUACAAUGGCUGGUACAACGGGAUGCAAACUCGUGAGUGUAAGCUAAUCCCUUAAAACCAGUCUCAGUUCGGAUUGGAGUCUGCAAUUCGACUCUAUGAAGUUGGAAUCGCUAGUAAUCGCGGAUCAGCAUGCCGCGGUGAAUACGUUCCCGGGCCUUGUACACACCGCCCGUCAAGCCAUGAAAGAUGGUAGUACCCCAAGCCGUUUAUCUAACCGUAAGGAGGAAAACGUCUAAGGUAAGAUCAUUGAUUGG
This 1499-nucleotide ribosomal RNA is filed under the name metagenome. Its description in RNAcentral is "bacterial SSU rRNA". It matches the Rfam family "Bacterial small subunit ribosomal RNA". The record is from RNAcentral.